RNAcentral lists this unclassified non-coding RNA (246 nucleotides) under Ascomycota sp. RNAcentral's name for it is "partial contains small subunit ribosomal RNA, internal transcribed spacer 1, and 5.8S ribosomal RNA". The stretch from base 1 to 47 matches the Rfam family "Eukaryotic small subunit ribosomal RNA", at positions 1785 to 1831 of the family's 1831-position model. Lineage: Eukaryota; Fungi; Ascomycota. The record is from RNAcentral.
AAAGUCGUAACAAGGUUUCCGUAGGUGAACCUGCGGAAGGAUCAUCAUUGAAUCCAUUUCUACAAACCCUGUGAACCGUAUGUUAAGAGCAUUUGGCAGGAAGGCUCGGCGGCUAGCCGGGCCGUGUCUUCUCAUCGCGGGAAGCGCCUGCCACCUGCUCGCAUUUUAAACAAACUCUUUAAACUUUUAAACUGAAACAAAAAUUUUAAACUAAAACAACUUUCAACAAUGGAUCUCUUGGCUCUC